This 254-nucleotide ribosomal RNA is filed under the name uncultured bacterium. RNAcentral's name for it is "partial 16S ribosomal RNA". It matches the Rfam family "Bacterial small subunit ribosomal RNA", at positions 524 to 776 of the family's 1533-position model. The record is from RNAcentral.
UACGUAGGGUGCGAGCGUUGUCCGGAAUUAUUGGGCGUAAAGAGCUCGUAGGCGGUGUGUCACGUCGGCCGUGAAAACCUGCAGCUUAACUGUGGGCGUGCGGUCGAUACGGGCAUCACUGGAGUUCGGCAGGGGAGACUGGAAUUCCUGGUGUAGCGGUGAAAUGCGCAGAUAUCAGGAGGAACACCGGUGGCGGGGGCGGGUCUCUGGGCCGAUACUGACGCUGAGGAGCGAAAGCGUGGGGAGCGAACAGG